GGAGGGUGCAAGCGUUAUCCGGAUUUACUGGGUUUAAAGGGUGCGUAGGUGGGUCUGUAAGUCAGUGGUGAAAUCUCCGGGCUUAACCCGGAAACUGCCAUUGAUACUAUAGGUCUUGAAUACUCUGGAGGUAAGCGGAAUAUGUCAUGUAGCGGUGAAAUGCUUAGAUAUGACAUAGAACACCAAUUGCGAAGGCAGCUUACUACGGGGUCAUUGACACUGAGGCACGAAAGCGUGGGGAUCAAACAGGAUUAGAUACCCUGGUAGUCCACGCCCUAAACGAUGGAUACUCGACAUCAGCGAUACACUGUUGGUGUCUGAGCGAAAGCAUUAAGUAUCCCACCUGGGAAGUACGAUCGCAAGAUUG
This 367-nucleotide ribosomal RNA is filed under the name uncultured bacterium. RNAcentral describes it as "bacterial SSU rRNA". It matches the Rfam family "Bacterial small subunit ribosomal RNA", at positions 527 to 896 of the family's 1533-position model. The record is from RNAcentral.